AGAGUUUGAUCAUGGCUCAGGACGAACGCUGGCGGCGUGCCUAAUACAUGCAAGUCGAACGAACCGCGACUGAGUGCUUGCACUUGGUCAAGGUGAGUGGCGAACGGGUGAGUAACACGUGGGUAACCUACCUCAUAGUGGGGGAUAACAGUCGGAAACGACUGCUAAUACCGCAUAGGACAUGGAAUCACAUGAUUCUGUGAGGAAAGGUGGCGCAAGCUAUCGCUAAGAGAUGGACCCGCGGUGCAUUAGCUAGUUGGUAGGGUAAAGGCCUACCAAGGCGAUGAUGCAUAGCCGACCUGAGAGGGUGAUCGGCCACAUUGGGACUGAGACACGGCCCAAACUCCUACGGGAGGCAGCAGUAGGGAAUCUUCCGCAAUGGACGCAAGUCUGACGGAGCAACGCCGCGUGAGUGAAGAAGGUCUUCGGAUCGUAAAGCUCUGUUGUUAGAGAAGAACAGCGCAUAGAGUAACUGUUAUGCGUGUGACGGUAUCUAACCAGAAAGCCACGGCUAACUACGUGCCAGCAGCCGCGGUAAUACGUAGGUGGCGAGCGUUGUCCGGAUUUAUUGGGCGUAAAGGGAGUGUAGGCGGUCUUUUAAGUCUGAUGUGAAAGCCCACGGCUCAACCGUGGAGGGUCAUUGGAAACUGGGAGACUUGAGUGCAGAAGAGGAGAGCGGAAUUCCAUGUGUAGCGGUGAAAUGCGUAGAUAUAUGGAGGAACACCAGUGGCGAAGGCGGCUCUCUGGUCUGUAACUGACGCUGAGGCUCGAAAGCGUGGGGAGCAAACAGGAUUAGAUACCCCGGUAGUCCAA
Molecule: ribosomal RNA, 813 nt
Filed under: uncultured bacterium
Lineage: Bacteria
Description: bacterial SSU rRNA
Rfam family: Bacterial small subunit ribosomal RNA
Source: RNAcentral